This 732-nucleotide ribosomal RNA is filed under the name uncultured bacterium. Its description in RNAcentral is "bacterial SSU rRNA". It matches the Rfam family "Bacterial small subunit ribosomal RNA", at positions 774 to 1495 of the family's 1533-position model. The record is from RNAcentral.
CGGAUUAGAUACCCUGGUAGUCCCAGCCUUAAACGGUGUGCACUUGGUGUGGGGGGUGUUGACCCCCUCCGUGCCGAAGCUAACGCAUUAAGUGCACCGCCUGGGGAGUACGGUCGCAAGGCUAAAACUCAAAGAAAUUGACGGGGGCCCGCACAAGCGGAGGAGCAUGUGGCUUAAUUCGAUGCAACGCGAAAAACCUUACCAGGGCUUGACAUGUAGCUGCACGCCCCGGGAAACCGGGGAAGCCUUCGAGGGUGCUACACAGGUGCUGCAUGGCUGUCGUCAGUUCGUGCCGUGAGGUGUUGGGUUAAGUCCCGCAACGAACGCAACCCCUGUGCUUAGUUGCCACCCCCGGUGAUGAAUCGGGGAGCACUCUAAGCAGACUGCCCGUACAAGCGGGAGGAAGGUGGGGACGACGUCAAGUCAGUAUGGCCCUUACGCUCUGGGCUGCACACGUGCUACAAUGGCCGGCACAGAGGGAUGCAAGACCGCGAGGUGGAGCAAAUCCCCAAAAACCGGCCCCAGUUCGGAUUGAAGGCUGCAACUCGCCUUCAUGAAGUUGGAUUCGCUAGUAACGGCGUAUCAGCUACGACGCCGUGAAUACGUUCCCGGGCCUUGUACACACCGCCCGUCACAUCAUGAAAGCCGUCUGCACCCGAAGUCGCUGUACCAACCCGCAAGGGGGGAAGGUGCCUAAGGUGUGGGUGGUGAUUGGGAUGAAGUCGUAACAAG